UCUUUGCUUCUUGUUCCUGCCUCUUGGAUGCUUCAGCAACUCCUCGAGCUUCUUCCUCAGCUUUCGAUUUUUCAAGGGCUUCUGCAUAGGCCUUUCUCCGACCAUCCUCAGGAAUGACGCUAAAAAGUUCAUCCACAGUCUUUGGCGGUGCUGAUGGAUCAGCAAAGACUUCGACAACCUUAUUUUCUGCCACCGCUGUGUUGGAG
RNAcentral lists this unclassified non-coding RNA (206 nucleotides) under Hevea brasiliensis (rubber tree). Lineage: Eukaryota; Viridiplantae; Streptophyta; Magnoliopsida; Malpighiales; Euphorbiaceae. The record is from RNAcentral.